Molecule: long non-coding RNA, 845 nt
Organism: Bolinopsis microptera
Lineage: Eukaryota; Metazoa; Ctenophora; Tentaculata; Lobata; Bolinopsidae
Exons: 3
Source: RefSeq, a predicted model, not a curated record
AGCAAGGGUUAAUCAAGUGUAAGAUGAUAAACAUCAUGGACUCGACGAUACCAAUAACCAGACGACAUCAGUAUUCGCUAUGUGGACAGGUACCUAGAGUUUCAGUGUCUGAACUCUGAAAUCCCUAUAACCUACUCUUGCCCUCAGUCAGACUGCUGUUCAAAGUAAGACAAGUUCUAGUUAAGUUUGAGAUCAAGAUUUAACUAUUGAAGUCGACUGCAGGGCGCAGGCAACGACUGGCAACGGGAGAUCAGAAAUUCAGCUUGAUCAGACUUAAGUAUGCUUCAUGAUGAAAAACGAAAGACAUCAAACUUGGUUAAAUGGUAUACAGAUCAACGAUUGGACAUUCCUUCUACUUUAAUGCUACAUCAACAUGUAAUACUUGAUAGACAAUAACCUUCAAAUAUUUUGUGACUGAACUGUGAAAUGUGAACACAAUCCCAACCCUUCAAUUAUGAUAGGAUUUACCUCGACCAAUAUAUAUAUUACAACUAUGACAGUGGGUUGCAUGUACAUACGAUGUUUCAGGAAGCCCGUGAACCCGGCUUGUAAUAUGCAAUUUUUCAGCAUUUAUAUCUGUGAUAGCUGCACUGAAAGUAUUUUGGGGUCUCGUAUUUGUAGUUUGUACGUGUGAAAUUUACUCUUUACUGUUUAUAUUUCAUAUGUUAUUUAUCAUAUUUGGCUUUUGUAAUUGAUCGUGGAUGAUUAAACUUAACUUAUAACUGUUGUGCAUGUUGAUGAUUGGCGAUUGGCAAAUGGCAUACUUAUAUUGACUGUAUUGAGUUAUUGAUGGGAUGAAAUGUAUUAGAAUUCUUGUUCUGCUUAAACAGACCGCUUCAAAUUAA